CUCUUCUCCUCAGUAAGGUGCUGCUCCCCACAUCAUCCCAGAGGGACGGUUAAAAUGGUCGCUUGUGGGUCGUUUCCCCCAGAGCCAGGCAGGGUUCUCUUGUGAAGAAGGAAAUUGUGAUAUUGUGAUGUGAAACACCAACCCGUAUGUCUGCAGUGGGGCUGGUCCCAGGGGGAUUAAGAAGGAAGAGGAAGACCUAGUUUCAGCAGUGGAGGACUAGCCUAACUCUGCAGAGGCCUCUGCCAUGGACUUCAAUCUCCUCUAGAUCUGUCUACAAUAUCGUUCAACCCAAAUCCACACAAGCACUUAGUGGAACACUUAGGAAACUGAAAAAGUUCCACUUCAGGCUGUAGACCCUGUUUGUGCUGGAUACAGCAUUAAGUGUGUAACAAACCUGAGUGCUUGACCUGAGGAAUCUCACUGCUCUGCCUCGAGGAAUGAUUUCUACUUGAAGGCAACAGAAUCUCCAUCAAGAAGAGCUGUUCGCUGGUCUUGUGGUUUGUGGAUGAGGAGCAGAACCCAUUGCUCUGUACACAGGAGGGAAAGCACUGAUCACUGAGUGAGUGUCUUUAGCACCUUCUGGGAGAUAUAACACCUUUUAAAUCUCAGAAAAUGACACUUGAUUGAAUUUUCUUUCAUUUCUAGAUAAAGUUCUUUUCUCCUUUCACACAGCUCUUAUUCUUUUAGAUUGAUUUAAUCAUAGGUUAGAACCAUGAGGAACAUA
This 724-nucleotide long non-coding RNA is filed under the name Parus major (Great Tit). RNAcentral describes it as "lncRNA (ENSPMJG00000012197.1)". Lineage: Eukaryota; Metazoa; Chordata; Aves; Passeriformes; Paridae. The record is from RNAcentral.